RNAcentral lists this ribosomal RNA (502 nucleotides) under uncultured bacterium. RNAcentral's name for it is "partial 16S ribosomal RNA". It matches the Rfam family "Bacterial small subunit ribosomal RNA", at positions 28 to 507 of the family's 1533-position model. The record is from RNAcentral.
GACGAACGCUGGCGGCGUGCCUAAUACAUGCAAGUCGAACGAACCGCGACUAAGUGCUUGCACUAAGUCAAGGUGAGUGGCGAACGGGUGAGUAACACGUGGGUAACCUACCUCAUAGUGGGGGAUAGCAGUCGGAAACGACUGCUAAUACCGCAUAGGACAUAGGAUCACAUGAUCCAGUGAGGAAAGGUGGCGCAAGCUAUCGCUAAGAGAUGGACCCGCGGUGCAUUAGCUAGUUGGUAGGGUAAAGGCCUACCAAGGCGAUGAUGCAUAGCCGACCUGAGAGGGUGAUCGGCCACAUUGGGACUGAGACACGGCCCAAACUCCUACGGGAGGCAGCAGUAGGGAAUCUUCCGCAAUGGACGCAAGUCUGACGGAGCAACGCCGCGUGAGUGAAGAAGGUCUUCGGAUCGUAAAGCUCUGUUGUUAGAGAAGAACAGCGCAUAGAGUAACUGCUAUGCGUGUGACGGUAUCUAACCAGAAAGCCACGGCUAACUACGCG